This 339-nucleotide ribosomal RNA is filed under the name Xerolenta obvia. RNAcentral describes it as "partial 16S ribosomal RNA". The record is from RNAcentral. Lineage: Eukaryota; Metazoa; Mollusca; Gastropoda; Stylommatophora; Hygromiidae.
GGUAGCAUGAUCAGGGGGUUAAUAAUUGAAGUCUGGCAUGAAAGGAUACAUGGGGAGUACCUGUCUUUUAGGGUUAACCUGAAAUUAAUUAGCAAGUGAAAAUGCUUGUAGACAUUUAAUAGACGAGAAGACCCUAGAAAUUUUCUAUAAAAUAGUGUUAAUUACUAGUAUUAUUUUGUUGGGGCGACAAAAUAACAAUAAACUUAUUUUAUUAAAUUAGAACUACAUGUUGAGUUAAAAUAAAUUACUCUAGGGAUAACAGCAUAAUCUAUUAGAGUUUGUGACCUCGAUGUUGGACUAGGGAUUUACGUGUUUAGAAGACACUAGAACGAGCUNUGU